UACAGAGGUCUCAAGCGUUGUUCGGAAUCACUGGGCGUAAAGGGUGCGUAGGCCGCACGGUAAGUCAGAGGUGAAAUCCCGGAGCUCAACUCCGGAAAUGCCUCCGAUACUGCCGUGCUUGAGGACUGGAGAGGAGUCUGGAAUUCACAGUGGAGCAGUGAAAUGCGUAGAUAUCAGGAGGAACACCAGUGGCGAAGGCGGCAUCCUGGACCGGCAUUGACGCUGAGGAGCGAAAGCCAGGGGAGCAAACGGG
This 253-nucleotide ribosomal RNA is filed under the name uncultured bacterium. Its description in RNAcentral is "partial 16S ribosomal RNA". It matches the Rfam family "Bacterial small subunit ribosomal RNA", at positions 524 to 776 of the family's 1533-position model. The record is from RNAcentral.